UUUUAUUUGAGAGUUUGAUCCUGGCUCAGGAUGAACGCUGGCGGCGUGCCUAACACAUGCAAGUUGAGCGAUUUACUUCGGUAAAGAGCGGCGGACGGGUGAGUAACGCGUGGGUAACCUACCCUGUACACACGGAUAACAUACCGAAAGGUAUGCUAAUACGGGAUAAUAUAUUUGAGAGGCAUCUCUUGAAUAUCAAAGGUGAGCCAGUACAGGAUGGACCCGCGUCUGAUUAGCUAGUUGGUAAGGUAACGGCUUACCAAGGCGACGAUCAGUAGCCGACCUGAGAGGGUGAUCGGCCACAUUGGAACUGAGACACGGUCCAAACUCCUACGGGAGGCAGCAGUGGGGAAUAUUGCACAAUGGGCGAAAGCCUGAUGCAGCAACGCCGCGUGAGUGAUGAAGGCCUUCGGGUCGUAAAACUCUGUCCUCAAGGAAGAUAAUGACGGUACUUGAGGAGGAAGCCCCGGCUAACUACGUGCCAGCAGCCGCGGUAAUACGUAGGGGGCUAGCGUUAUCCGGAUUUACUGGGCGUAAAGGGUGCGUAGGCGGUCUUUCAAGUCAGGAGUGAAAGGCUACGGCUCAACCGUAGUAAGCUCUUGAAACUGGGAGACUUGAGUGCAGGAGAGG
RNAcentral lists this ribosomal RNA (630 nucleotides) under Clostridioides difficile. RNAcentral's name for it is "bacterial SSU rRNA". It matches the Rfam family "Bacterial small subunit ribosomal RNA", at positions 1 to 657 of the family's 1533-position model. The record is from RNAcentral. Lineage: Bacteria; Bacillati; Bacillota; Clostridia; Peptostreptococcales; Peptostreptococcaceae.